This 1591-nucleotide long non-coding RNA is filed under the name Neodiprion pinetum (white pine sawfly). RNAcentral describes it as "uncharacterized LOC124222997". Lineage: Eukaryota; Metazoa; Arthropoda; Insecta; Hymenoptera; Diprionidae. The record is from RNAcentral.
CACGCCGCGUGAACGCAUUGUCACACGCUCUUUGAUAGUAGGUACCUUAUGUCCGUGGAAUUUGAUAUUAGUCUAGUGCAUUAGUCCAUCUCAUGGUCAUUCGAUUACAGGUGGACCUAAUCGUAUCCGUCAACGGUUUCGAUAAUUAAUCGACCCAACGUAAAACAAUAAACAGCUCUAGUAUUCUCCCGAGUCAUUGUCAGAUACAGGAAUUGAAUAAUAAUGGGACGCCACGCAGCUUACGAUGUUACUAUAACUUCGGUUGAUUUGAGAAUAAAAAUGUUUAACCGCUGUUCUUUUACUCGAUGUCUAUAAUACCAGCGGCGUUUGUUUGUCGGUUUAAAAUACCAACUGUCUCAGCGACGUCCAGUCACGUUCGUUCAUUUGACGUGUUCGGUAACAUAUCCGAUUGUAAAAAUGUUCAUUUAUGGUUGAGAAACUUUAUCCGUAUUGCGAAUCACACGUAUUCUUCAACGCGUAUACCGAACCUAGACUUUGUCGAAACGUUUUUUCUUCAUCUCUAGUUAAUUUAAAAAUCUGUUCACGGUACAUUCCCAAACUUUUUCGUAGAUGUAAGUAAUUUUGUUCGUUCCUUAUUGCUCUACUUCAUUCAUGUUAACUCGGAACUAAUACGAAUUGAUGAAACCACGAAAGAAAGCCUGCUAUGAACACUUAUGGUGCAACUGUUAUCCUAAAAUCGAUACAGUUAUCAUUGUGUAUACAAACGUACGUUCAGAUUUAUAUACAUAUAUGUACUGCAAAUUAAAGUAUCUCACACACAGAAUGGCACAAUGAUCCUAAGAUGAUGCGGUACAGUCAGUGUUUACUAACCGCGUUAAACGUCAUGCUUUUUUACUACUUACUUUUUUAGGCACCGACGUAAUAAUGCCGUAGUCAGCGCAAUAAUUCAACAUGCAAUGCCGAACGAAAAUAUCUAAAAACCGUUAUGUUUCACGCGAGUGCAAAGCCAAGAAAUGUCUUCCUUCAUGUAGUUAUCACGGCAUCGUUGAUGCUUCCAUGUGCUGUAGCGGUCGGUGAUCGGUGCGAUAAUGGAUCGGCUAUUUCACAAAUGUGUGGAUGUGGUUAAUGAAUAGAUAACCACGAUAACCGUUUAUGGUGAAAAUAAUGAGUGUUUUAUUUGAGCUCGAUUGUAAUUACGCGAUACAUGCUGAAGUAACUUCGCACCUAUGGUUCGCAAAACAUUCAAUAUAUAUCUAUAAUGACAUACAACUCCAUUAUAGGUGCAUCCGCUUUGUAAAUUUCUUGUCAAUUUUUACAAUUUCGGUUGUAGAUGUUUGCCAAUAGGCACAAAGCUCAGGACAAAGCGUUUAACACUGUUAACAUACAUCAGUCGCGAUAAUGUACAGAAUUGUAAUAUUAAUUUGGAUCUAUUUUCAUCAUAUUUCUUAUUACAACUUUUAUUCUACAUGUACAUAUUGUAUAAAAUAUAUUUUCUAGCGUGAUCUUAUGUUCGUAUUUUAUCACUACCUUGUACUUCCUUGUAAAACUUUGUGCGUUGCUUCGGUAUUUAUGUAUAUAAAUAAAAAGUUGUAUAAUCAUACAAAACUUAUCUAACAUGACGUGUAAUUUA